This is a long non-coding RNA of Alnus glutinosa, 1545 nucleotides long. RefSeq lists it as uncharacterized. The record is from RefSeq and is a predicted model, not a curated record. Lineage: Eukaryota; Viridiplantae; Streptophyta; Magnoliopsida; Fagales; Betulaceae. The transcript is spliced from 2 exons.
CAAAUAGAAUAGAGAGCUGUUACAUAACAUUGCUUGAUGGAAUUUUAUUUCAAUGGAAAGCUGAUUAAAAAGCCGCCAAAGGUAAAGCAAUAGGAAGCAUAUGGGGCUUCAUGAGUCUUCACCACAAGUUGAAGUUGAACCCAUUGUUAAAAAAAUUACAACGGGGUGGCAACUUCAAUAUGGACGAAGACAAUAUGCUUGUGUCGGCGUGAGUUGAAGUUAGCUCAGAUGUAGUGCAAGGAAAUGAGCAAAAAUACAAGACAUAUUGGUAAAAAAAAUUUGUGAGUAAUUCAUAAGCACAAGACCUUUGGAUUUAACAGUAAUCAGAACUCUCUUAUAAUGAAUCAAAGUCAACUAUUCAACUUGCGAUAAAUAAGUUUUGUGGUUACUUAGAGCAAGUUGAGUGAAGGCAACAAAGUGGUUUGACUGAGCAAUAGAAGGUAUGUUAUAAUUAUGGCUUUUCAUCAAUUUCUUUGGAUUAUGUUCUAUUUAUUUCAAAAUAUUUUAAUUAUGUUAUAUUUGUUAAUUUUUCAAAUUGGCAAGGCAAAACUCAUGUAUCAAGAAUUCCAAAACAACAAUAUAUAUUUCACUUUUUUUUGGUUUUAUGAAUGGCUCAUUCGGUAUCCAAAAUUUUAUUUUAUGUUUUUGAGGAUAAGGUAGUUCUGUAGAUAGGUCUAUGGUUGAAGAUGUUGAAGAUCCCUUCAAGAAGACAAGUACAACAGGUGAUGUCUGGACAUGAACAACUAGAGAGUCACCUAUCCCCUGGGCUGUCCGGACAUGUCAGUGGACAUAAUUAUUCUAUGUGAAUGAUAUCCGGACACGAACUGCUCCAGGGAGUUACCUGUCUCCUUAGCUUUUCGGACAUGCAUAUAUGGCUGCAUGCGAACAUGAACAUUCUAUAUGAAUGGUGUCUGGAAAUGAAGGAAAAUGGUAAGGUUAUUUUGGCAUUGAAGUCUGGACAUCAAGGAAAAUAGUCCGAACAGGAGGAGGACAAUAAGCAUCACUGAAGAGUGAUGUUCGGUCAAGAAGGACUCCUAUGCGGAUAUGGAAGGCGAAUAGGUCAAUAAAUCUUAAUCGUGUUCGUACAUGCAAAUAACCUGUUUGGACGCCUCCUCUUAGAAACACUGCUUUCUGUCUACAAAAGGAUAGUUUUGCUUCACUCUUCAAAGAUCUCUCAUACGUGAAAAUUCAGAGCUUCAUAGAGAGAGUUGAGAGACUUGUACCAAGUCCUUGUUGUGUUGAUACACAAGGGUCUUGGGGUUUGGGGCCAAGAGUCGUUUUCGUGUGUCAAAGGCUCAUGGAGUGGAGAUCAAGCCAUAAUGUUGCUGGUGCACUUAUUGCGCAUCAAUUGAAGUUUACCAGUGAAGAUUGGUAAGGAGUUCACUCUUAGAAAAAAUCGGUCAACAAUGGUGUUAAAGCAGAGACACGAGGAGUUUGUGGAGUUUGUUGUCAUACAGAUUGUACGAAUAAAUUACAAGGGGUUGUAAGUUUACUUUGCUUGUAUUUAGUUUUUCUAAUAAUGGAGUAAUAUCUUGGGUUUGACUA